CCUACGGGAGGCAGCAGUGAGGAAUAUUGGUCAAUGGCCGAGAGGCUGAACCAGCCAAGUCGCGUGAGGGAAGACGGCCCUACGGGUUGUAAACCUCUUUUGUCGGGGAGCAAAGCGAGUCACGUGUGACUCAUUGAGAGUACCCGAAGAAAAAGCAUCGGCUAACUCCGUGCCAGCAGCCGCGGUAAUACGGAGGAUGCGAGCGUUAUCCGGAAUUACUGGGUGUAAAGGGAGCGCAGGCGGGAAGCCAAGUCAGCUGUGAAAACUACGGGCUUAACUUGUAGACUGCAGUUGAAACUGGUUUUCUUGAGUGAAGUAGAGGUUGGCGGAAUUCCGAGUGUAGCGGUGAAAUGCGUAGAUAUUCGGAGGAACACCGGUGGCGAAGGCGGCCAACUGGGCUUUAACUGACGCUGAGGCUCGAAAGUGUGGGGAGCAAACAGGAUUAGAUACCCGGGUAGUC
RNAcentral lists this ribosomal RNA (460 nucleotides) under uncultured bacterium. Its description in RNAcentral is "partial 16S ribosomal RNA". It matches the Rfam family "Bacterial small subunit ribosomal RNA", at positions 338 to 795 of the family's 1533-position model. The record is from RNAcentral.